This 468-nucleotide ribosomal RNA is filed under the name Chaetoceros curvisetus. Its description in RNAcentral is "partial Bacterial large subunit ribosomal RNA". It matches the Rfam family "Bacterial large subunit ribosomal RNA", at positions 1377 to 1937 of the family's 2925-position model. The record is from RNAcentral. Lineage: Eukaryota; Bacillariophyta; Thalassiosirophyceae; Chaetocerotales; Chaetocerotaceae.
GGGUAAGCCGACCCCUAAGGCGAGGCCGAAAGGCGUAGUCGAUGGGAACCAGGUUAAUAUUCCUGGGCCAGCCAGUAGUGACGGAUCGUGAAGGUUGUUCACCCUUAUUGGAUUGGGUGGGCCGCUAAUCGGUUCCUGGAAAUAGCUCUGGCAUAAGAUCGUACCCUAAACCGACACAGGUGGACUGGUAGAGAAUACCAAGGCGCUUGAGAGAACUCGGGUGAAGGAACUAGGCAAAAUGGCACCGUAACUUCGGGAGAAGGUGCGCCGGUGAGGGUGAAGGACUUGCUCCGUAAGCCCAUGCCGGUCGAAGAUACCAGGCCGCUGCGACUGUUUAUUAAAAACACAGCACUCUGCAAACACGAAAGUGGACGUAUAGGGUGUGACGCCUGCCCGGUGCCGGAAGGUUAAUUGAUGGGGUUAGCUAACGCGAAGCUCUUGAUCGAAGCCCCGGUAAACGGCGGCCGU